UACAGAGGUCUCAAGCGUUGUUCGGAUUCAUUGGGCGUAAAGGGCGCGUAGGCGGCGGGGUAAGUCGGGUGUGAAAUCUCAGGGCUCAACCCUGAAACUGCACUCGAUACUGCUCUGCUUGAGGACUGGAGAGGAGACUGGAAUUCACGGUGUAGCAGUGAAAUGCGUAGAUAUCGUGAGGAAGACCAGUGGCGAAGGCGGGUCUCUGGGCAGUUCCUGACGCUGAGGCGCGAAGGCCAGGGGAGCAAACGGG
This 253-nucleotide ribosomal RNA is filed under the name uncultured bacterium. Its description in RNAcentral is "partial 16S ribosomal RNA". It matches the Rfam family "Bacterial small subunit ribosomal RNA", at positions 524 to 776 of the family's 1533-position model. The record is from RNAcentral.